UCCACUUCGUCUUCUCCGAUUAGGUUUAGCAAGUCCCCUAUCUCCUCCGCCAAGUCUCACGUAGACUUGAAAAACUCUUCGGUAACGUCUUCUUCCGAUGUUGUUGCGUAAUCAGCCUUCGACGCUCUCCGCCUCGGUAGAUCGUCGCAGUUCAUUGUUGCUUGGCUUCUCCGUUUUUGGGACUCGGAAAACAUCAAGAAGUAUGAUUGUCUCUCAUCACACUGCAAGGAACCAUAUGAAGUCAAAGAAGGCAAAUAAGAGUUUGAUUUCAAGGUGGUCACCGAGACCGUUCCAAUAUGAGCGUGAUUAUGUCCCAUUGAGCUCUAUGGCUUGGCCAAAGACGAGUCUGAUUACGGAUGAUGCACAACAAGCUUCAAGAUAGAUAACAGUGACCUUAGAGAAAGGAGGCAAGCCUACUGUUAGAGUUGCUAGCCUUGGCCACGCGUUGCAUGUCUGUCUCAAUUGAGAAUACCUUGGUAAGAUGUGAGAUUGAGAAGGUACAUAGCUAGAUGUUCUCACAAAAAUUAUGUGCUAACAAAAACAUUCAAGUUUGAUGAUGAAAUCUGUGAUUUUCUUGUGUGUCAACAGGAUAGUGUGUCUUAUCUGGAGCAUAGAUUCACAUGUCACACGUAGUGUUUCCAUCUUAGGGUUGAGCUCUGGACCACUUGAUCUCACUGAGAAAAGCAAAUGGGGAAACAAGGUGGGUAUUGAAGGCUAGAAGCUCUAUAUUCACACGAGGAAGGAUAGAAGAAGGUUAAGUGGCAGAAAUUCUCAGGAAAAGCACCAGGACUUACCUGGUAUCAGGCAUACUUUGAUGCGCCAGGGGUUUAGUAAUAUUAAGUUUUCUUUUUCCAUCUGAAGAAAAAUCUUUAACGAAACAAGGAAAAUAAAUUAACAUUAUAGACUGCAUACUGGGAAAGUUGAUAACACUGAAACAUCACAUGAGUGGUGCUAUAUCUCAUGUUCCAAGAGCUCCUGGAAACUGCAGCGUGGGCUUUUAUCUGUCGUGUGUGGAUCCUAUCAUGAUGAAA
Brassica oleracea var. oleracea is the source of this 1031-nucleotide long non-coding RNA. RefSeq lists it as uncharacterized. The transcript is spliced from 7 exons. The record is from RefSeq and is a predicted model, not a curated record. NCBI's taxonomy places the organism in Eukaryota, Viridiplantae, Streptophyta, Magnoliopsida, Brassicales, Brassicaceae.